Molecule: unclassified non-coding RNA, 932 nt
Filed under: Hevea brasiliensis (rubber tree)
Lineage: Eukaryota; Viridiplantae; Streptophyta; Magnoliopsida; Malpighiales; Euphorbiaceae
Source: RNAcentral
UUUACAUUUCUUCACAAGGGAAAAUCAUCAUGUCAUGAUUCUCUUAUGGGGAUAAUUUAAAUUUUGUAUGCUAAAAUUCCUACAAAAAGAUAUUAUUUGAACUCCUCUAAACAAUUACGAGGCUUUAACGCAUGUCCUUUGUUGAUUAAUGUGUCAUCGUACAACAAGGGCUGUGUAUUCUAAUGAACAAGCAGAGAAUCAACUGCUGGGGUUGAUGUUGCUCCCUGAGGUCAUUUCUAUUCCUUUCCUCUUGGUAUUCCUUCCCAACUCUACAUCCCUAUCAUUCUCAGAUAAUGAUCUCUCCACUUUUCUUCUCUUAUUCUUUUGCCGUGACUGGUCUUCCUUCUCAUCCAUUAAUGAUAAUAGCCUAUGCAGACGUCCAGAGCGUGAGCCACCUUGAGUAGGGGAAGCGGAUUCUGCAGGGGGAACGCGAUAUAAUUGGCGUAUAAUCUGCAGAAAAUAUAUGAAGAGAGCAAAGAAGCAAGCUAGCCCACAAAUGACAAAGAGGCCCCAAAAGCUUUUAAGCUCAAGUCUAUCUGAUUCGAUCUCAGUUCUAUCUGAACUGCAACUGCUAUGCAUGAGCCACUUGUCAUGGAUCCUUUGAAGAUCACCAUUUUCCGAUAGUGCUAGAAUUGCCGUUGACAUAUCAACAGCUAAGGGAGAGUCCCGUGGAAAUGCAAAACCCCAGCCACUUUUUGUAAAUUCUUGACCUACAAUCCUGAAUGUGCAUUGGGUUGAUAGGAAGAUGUCAACGUAAGGAAGUUCGUCAACAACUGCAGCAACACCCCCAUCCUUUGUAGGACCAAGUUGGAGUGCUCUAGCAUAUGCUUCAGGUGAUCCUAGGGGAACAAGCCUAGAUUUAGAUAUUCCAAGUUCCUGACUCAAAUAAUAUUCAGCAAAAGAACCCACUUGGUAUCCUAUGGGUUCAUCAC